RNAcentral lists this ribosomal RNA (527 nucleotides) under Kedrostis foetidissima. RNAcentral describes it as "eukaryotic LSU rRNA". The stretch from base 140 to 295 matches the Rfam family "5.8S ribosomal RNA". The record is from RNAcentral. Lineage: Eukaryota; Viridiplantae; Streptophyta; Magnoliopsida; Cucurbitales; Cucurbitaceae.
CCUCCCACCCUUGUCUCUCUACACCUGUUGCUUUGGCGGGCCCACUGGGGCUCCCUGGUCGCCGGGGGACGAAUUCGCCUGCCCCCUGUCCCGGCUUCGGAGCGCGGGGGGCAGAGCAUUCUUGUCGUAUUAUCACAACGACUCUCGACAACGGAUAUCUCGGCUCUCGCAUCGAUGAAGAACGUAGCGAAAUGCGAUACUUGGUGUGAAUUGCAGGAUCCCGCGAACCACUGAGUCUUUGAACGCAAGUUGCGCCCGGAGCCUUCUGGCCGAGGGCACGUCUGCCUGGGCGUCACGCAUCGCUGCCCCCGCUCAACCCCCCUUAAAACGGGUUCGUUGUGCAUAUGGGGGCACAUGUUGGCCUCCCAUGCGCACCGUCGCAUGGAUGCUUAAAUUUGAGUACUCGACGCCUGUUGUCCGCGAACCUCGUUCGGAUCCGGGAGGGACCUGCGGGGGUUGGUCACCACCACAUUUUCUAUUAUGGUUGACCUCGGAUCAGGUAGGAGUUACCCGCUGAACUUAAGAUA